Molecule: ribosomal RNA, 490 nt
Filed under: Escherichia coli
Lineage: Bacteria; Pseudomonadati; Pseudomonadota; Gammaproteobacteria; Enterobacterales; Enterobacteriaceae
Description: bacterial SSU rRNA
Rfam family: Bacterial small subunit ribosomal RNA
Source: RNAcentral
AAAUUGAAGAGUUUGAUCAUGGCUCAGAUUGAACGCUGGCGGCAGGCCUAACACAUGCAAGUCGAACGGUAACAGGAAGAAGCUUGCUUCUUUGCUGACGAGUGGCGGACGGGUGAGUAAUGUCUGGGAAACUGCCUGAUGGAGGGGGAUAACUACUGGAAACGGUAGCUAAUACCGCAUAAUGUCGCAAGACCAAAGAGGGGGACCUUCGGGCCUCUUGCCAUCGGAUGUGCCCAGAUGGGAUUAGCUAGUAGGUGGGGUAACGGCUCACCUAGGCGACGAUCCCUAGCUGGUCUGAGAGGAUGACCAGCCACACUGGAACUGAGACACGGUCCAGACUCCUACGGGAGGCAGCAGUGGGGAAUAUUGCACAAUGGGCGCAAGCCUGAUGCAGCCAUGCCGCGUGUAUGAAGAAGGCCUUCGGGUUGUAAAGUACUUUCAGCGGGGAGGAAGGGAGUAAAGUUAAUACCUUUGCUCAUUGACGUUACCC